Small nuclear RNA from Tupaia belangeri (northern tree shrew), 104 nucleotides. NCBI's taxonomy places the organism in Eukaryota, Metazoa, Chordata, Mammalia, Scandentia, Tupaiidae. The record is from Ensembl.
UGUAGUUGGUUUCAAUCCUGCAAUACUGGAAUACUAGAGAAGAUUAGCAUAGCCCCUGUGCAAAGAUGACUCAGAAAUUUGUAAAAUUGCCAUGGCAAUAUUAU